This 515-nucleotide ribosomal RNA is filed under the name uncultured bacterium. RNAcentral's name for it is "partial 16S ribosomal RNA". It matches the Rfam family "Bacterial small subunit ribosomal RNA", at positions 28 to 523 of the family's 1533-position model. The record is from RNAcentral.
GAUGAACGCUGGCGGCGUGCCUAAUACAUGCAAGUCGAGCGAAUGGAUUAAGAGCUUGCUCUUAUGAAGUUAGCGGCGGACGGGUGAGUAACACGUGGGUAACCUGCCCAUAAGACUGGGAUAACUCCGGGAAACCGGGGCUAAUACCGGAUAACAUUUUGAACCGCAUGGUUCGAAAUUGAAAGGCGGCUUCGGCUGUCACUUAUGGAUGGACCCGCGUCGCAUUAGCUAGUUGGUGAGGUAACGGGUCACCAAGGCAACGAUGCGUAGCCGGCCUGAGAGGGGGAUCGGACACACUGGGACUGAGACACGGCCCAGACUCCUACGGGAGGCAGCAGUAGGACAGCUUCCGCAAUGGACGAAAGUCUGACGGAGCAACGCCGCGUGAGUGAUGAAGGCUUUCGGGUCGUAAAACUCUGUUGUUAGGGAAGAACAAGUGCUAGUUGAAUAAGCUGGCACCUUGACGGUACCUAACCAGAAAGCCACGGCUAACUACGUGCCAGCCGCCGCGGUAA